RNAcentral lists this long non-coding RNA (7798 nucleotides) under Brassica napus (rape). RNAcentral's name for it is "long non-coding RNA (BNAP_LNC001677)". Lineage: Eukaryota; Viridiplantae; Streptophyta; Magnoliopsida; Brassicales; Brassicaceae. The record is from RNAcentral.
CUUGUCCAGAAUUCCAAUAUGUGUGUAUUUAAUUAUUCGCAUGCAUAUGAUCAGAAAAUAGAUGUCAACAAGUUCAUGAGGAGGUUUUUAAGAUUGAAAAUUGGUUAUUCAAAAAAUACUUGUCUUCACUAAAUUUCAAAGAAAUUCUUGGUUGAAACUUCAAUUUUUCAAGCUUAUGCUAUGGACCAGUUAAAAUGUACUCAAAAUUGUAAAAUUAUUUUGUACUAAUGCUACACAAUCAUUCUUUAUCAUUAGAUUUGUUUCCUUAUAAAAAGAAUAGAACAUAGAAAGUGCUUCCAAAAAGUAGCAUUUCGUGAAUGCAACAAUACAAAGAGGGUAUGAGUAUGGUGGAAAAAUUAAAUUAAAUUUUGAUUUUGUUUUUGAAAACUUAACAAAAGAAAUUGUUUAGUAAUUCAAUUAUGGUUAAGCUUUCAACAGUUGGAAACUAUGUGGGUGAUGUCAAAAAACAUGUUAAUCAUCUAUGCUUUUGAGGUAUCUCUCUCUUUCUUUCUUUCGAUAUAUAUAAUCAUUCUUGGACCAUGGUCAAUUAUUGAAGCAUUGAUCAUAUAAUGAUUAUAUAUAUUAUCUGUGACGUCAAUCAUAUACACUGACUGAAAUGUGGGGUGAGUAUUAAGCAGUCAAGAAAGCAUUCAACUCCAUUGUGUUUAGGCUAGAAAAAACGUGUUUAAACUUUUUAGGGAAAAUCUAUUUAAAUCACAUGUCUAUCUCUCUCGUUUCUUUUAAACUUGUUGUGAUAACAAAACAUUUUUUUGCAGGGAUGAUUUGGCUUCAUGAAUGUAUGUGGGUAUCGAUCCACAUGAGUUUCAAGACUGACUGUUGAUUAGGGAUGUGAUUGAUGGUUGUUUAGUUCUGAUCUUUUUAGCUUUCGAAUUUAAUCACUAUUGUGAUUGAUGGUUGUUUUGUUCUUUUGACAUGAUGAUGAAUUUUGUUUUUUUUAGAGUUUAAUGACAUAAAACUUUCUAAGAGCUGUCACCAUAGUUAUAUCUUUUUAAUUGGUUUUAAGUUUCUUUUCAUCUUAUGACUUGUGCGUUUCUAUGGGGAAAUUCAUAUGAUUUUGACAUAUAUCUGAAUCUAUGAGAGUCUCUGUUUUAAUAUUGAAAGAACAAAACUUUUUGACAAAAGAGAGAAUCAUAAUCGACUCUUAAUGAUCAUUAGUAUUGUUUCCUUUCCAAAUCUUGAUUCUUUCAAUGUAUUCUGUCAAGUGUUUGCAAGGGAAUCCUUGUGAUAAAGCUUGUUGGUGUGUUACACCAAAAGAUCCCUAUAGAGAAAGUCACAUUUUUAGCAUGCUCACUAUUGUUUUGAGUUUAAUGCCAUAAAACUUUGUAAGAGGUGUCGCCAUAGUUAUGUCUUUCUAAUAGUGGUUUGAAGUUUCUUUUCAUAUUAACCAAUUCACGUUGUACCUUUAGUACUAGCCAAUUCAACAUAAGCAGAGCUCAAAGUUCCAAUCCCAAUACAUUUGUGGUGAUUUAGUUUUAUUCUCUCAGCCUUGACUUCAUUCCUUCGGUUUAAAGUUACUUUCAUUGACUUCAUGUUAUGAUCUUCUCUUUGUUUAGUGAUUUGUACAUGUGAUUUUCAGAAUAGUAAGCUCCUUGAGGCGACUCUUCCUCUAUCAUCUAUGGCAGAGACUGACACAAAUGGUUAGUUAUCACGGACCUUCCUCCAACGGACUCAUCAAUGAAGAAGCAAACAAUUCUCAAAGACUGGCAUUUCAAGUACAAAAGACAAACUGUUAAAUAACAAAAACAUAGUUAUAAUUUUUUUUUUAUAACUGUAUUGGGUAGCAGGGAUUAAACCAAUCUGAGUUCCUAGAUUUUCAAUAAAACUAAUGAAAAUUCAAUUUUCUGUAUGCGACAUUCGUCCAUGUAACAGAGAUUAAAACAUUUUCAGAUCUUUCAGGAUUGUUGAAAGUUCUGUUUGGUUCUUGAGAGAUUGUUGUAGAAACAAAGGAAAGCUUAUCCUCUGUUUUUUCUGGUUCCUCUGUUUCGAGAGCUGUGGUUACUAGGCUUCUUUACUCCUGUACCUGAGGUGGAGAUUUUCUUAAUAGAACAUCUUCCAAAGUUAAAUAUUCCUUCAAGACAUUCUCUGAUGUAGCCACUUCAUCUCUAGAAGAUAUUUCAACAUCUCGGUUUGCCUUAUGAUCAUUACAAAGCUCAGUAUCAUCAAUCAAGCUUACCCUUUCUGUUUUCAAAGGACUCUGUUUCUAAAGCAUUUGACUUCACCAAAUCCUCUGACUCACACAGGUUUGAGUUUGAAUUUGAGUUACACGUCACAGACUUCUCCUGGACCAACACACCUUCAUCAGCACAUAUAUCCUUCACCACAUGAUAAGUUUUCUCCUUGUAGCAAACUACAAUCUCAGGCAAGUCACAAACUGUAACGUUCUUGUCCAUAUAUAUAAAACACCGGAUCAACUUUCUCGAUAGGAUCCCUUGUAUCAACAAUAUCAUGACUAUUGAGUUUCUUUCCAGUCUCAUUAGAGUCCCCACAAGAAUGGUCUCCAUUGUUGUCUUUAUCCCAUUCGUCGCCGCUUCUUGUAUCAUAGAACAACUCAUACACAUUGCUAUUGUUCAAGAGUGAUGAACAAUAUCAAGAACUUUCAAGCAGAUUCAUAGAAAAGAAUGAGAGAACAAAUAAUGAAAUUGCAGAGAGAAGACAUAAGUAUAAGGGAACUUCAUUAUAGAGGAUGGAAUCUUUUAAAGUUAAUCUGUUCUAUCUAUCUGUUUCUCUCCAAGCUUGGAGGGUAAAGUAUUCUAUGGAUGCAGAACAUAAGUAUAGUUAGUCACACAUGUGAAAGGCCAACAACAAAACAUCAUGAGGUCUAGAACAGAUAAUAAACAUCAAAAAAUGCAAUCAACCACUCGUGUGGCCACUUUCCAACUUUUUGCUAAUGUAGAGAAGAAGACGUUUAGAUAAAAGCUGCAAUGUCAUAAUAAUAAGCAAGAAAGUUUCAAAAUUUGAUUGUAAUAAGAUUUAUAGCAAUCAAUUAUACAGCUGCUAGACUGCAAUUUCUCAGCUCUCUUUUACAGAAAUCUCAAUAAACAAUUAGACUUUAAAAGACAGAAGAAGAAUCUCGAACUGAAAUUAAAUAAAACAACGUUUAAUGCCACCAUUUAUUAGAUAAAGUCAGGAAAAUCAUUUUUGCUGAUUCAUUUUCUUGGUGAAUUGGAAAAAGAUCGGAUCCCAAUUAACUAACAGUUAGUUCAACAGUAGCCAAUUAAAAUGGUUAUCUUACAAAAGUAAAUUUGAAAAUAUAUCAUAACAAUUGAAAAUAAAUCUACAACCGUCAAAUGAUAGAUUCUGAAACAAUAAACCAAAACUCAGAUAAUUAUGUUUUAUGGGUCUCACAGUUCAUGUGAAAUCGUUUGGCCUCCCGACAUUGAUGUUCUGUUCUGCCAAGAACUCUGUAAUCGCCUUCUUUUGCCAUCCUUUGAAGCUCCUGUAACCCCAAAAGAACAACCAUUUACUCGUAAUCCACGCGAGAGGAACACAAAUAUACAGAGGAGAAUGAUUUUGGACAUUACUUUUGAUCAAGAUGAGCCAAGAUCUCGCCCCCUGGGAAUGAAGCUUUGGUAGCUUCAAAAGCUGCUUGAAUCGACUGUCUCCAAGUUCCACCAAUGUGAUUCUCUCCAGGCUUUGCUUCUUCCAUCGGCAAUGAGUAACCAGAAAGCAAAUGGCCUACCCAUAUAUCAUCUUUCCUGAUGAACACAACACACCAAGAAUCAGCCGGAGAAAAUACUUACACUAAAGAGUUCUUGACAACUUACAAAACUACAUCCACGUGACGAGGAGCAUAGUGUCCACCUCCAAUCCCUAAAAGAACCUUCCUCUUUCCAGUUUCACUGCCCACCAAAUUGAUUCUCAUUACUUGAGAUGAUACUACAUUUUUCUUUUUUGAGAUGUAAAGAUUAAGCUACCUGUUCCAGCUCCCCACAGCUUCACCGCCUCCAAGCCCAAGCCCUUCCCAUAUUAACUGAAUCACAAAACACAAUGUUUAUACUAAAUGAAAGCAAUGUUUUAGAUAUUGACAAGCAAGUUCCUAGAGAGGACAGUGCAUAUUAAUGGUUAGAAGCAAACUUUAAACACAAAUGUCUUUGAUUCCCCACGAAGCAACAAGAAUAUUCAUUUACUUACAAGAGCAAUAACUUGAGCAGCGUCUUGUCUCUUCCAGUAUUCCUCUGUACUACCUACAUAUACACAAUAAACAAAGAACACACACAAGCUAAGCAACUGAAGACAAGAAAUGGCUAAAUUUCAACUAGAAAGAAACUCACCAAUCUCCAAGAACAUGGUUGGCUUACUAGUUAUAGGUCCAUGAUGAGUACCUUCCAAUGUUAUCUACACACACCCACACAUAAAACAAAGCAAUCUCCAAAAUAAAAAUAACAAACAACAAAACAAUACCUCAAACUCAGGAACCAAGCUAUGAGCUUCAGCCAUCUUCUUCAAAAGACGCAACCAUGGACCAAUCCUAGGGCUCGGCAACGCCGCCCACCCGGCCUUUCCUCCGUGCGGCGGCGAUUCUCCUUCCUUUAAGUGAAGCACUCCUUCAACCAACCACCAACUAUUGAGGGAAAAAUAGCACAAACCCACAAAGAAAGUUUCGAUCUUUUUAGCAUAUACCAAUGGGGUGAACGGUGAGAGCAGGACGGUUCGAGGCGGCGGUGUGACGGCUGAGGAAGAUGACUUCAUCUACAACCUCUCCGGUUGCUUCCUCCCACCGUGAAUCGAGAUCGUCUUCCUUCACUAUAGACACAUCGUGCUGAAUCAGCCUCGUUUGCUGGUUGGUGAAGCUCUUGAUGUUCUGCAAGAAUCCGACAAGAAGAGGAUUCAGACAAGAAUGGGGGAGGAGAAGAAAGAUCGUAACUUUACCGGCGGUAAGGUGGGUCCGGUGGUCCAUCCCGGCAUGGCGAGAAGCGCCGCCGCGGGGUUGAUCGACGCUGGGUCGUAGGUGGUCGCGACGAUCAGUGUCACCAUCUCUAGCUUUGAGAAUGGAACGCGGCAAGUCGCGUUUAUAAGCGGUUGGGGACUGAGUUGCGUUUGUUUGUGCGAGUGGACGAAGCGUAUAAAGUUUCGGCUGCUUGUUUUCAAAACCAUUGUUCUUCUACAUUUUCAACAUUUGGAAAAGCUAAUAAAGUGAUUUUUCUUUUUGUUUGGGCAACAAGCUAUAGCGCUACAAGUAAAUUCGUUUAGUAAACCAAAUUUAAACGUUCCAGUCAAUAAAAUUUGUGAAAUUCCUUCAGAUAACCUUUUGAAUUUUUUGUCACAAAAAAUAGCCUCAAUAAAGAAAAUAACCAAAAUAAGUUUUAUUAAAACAUAAAAAAUGAAUUUUACUCUAGGGUUAACUAAUCUAUACUUAGAGUUUAGAGCUAAGGGGUGAGGUUUUGAGGAUAAAGUUUCAAAUUAUAAAAAAAUAUAUAUAUUAAAAAUUUUCAACAUAAAAAGGAUUAUUUUGGUCAUUUUUUUAGAGCUAUUUUUGUGAUAAAAACUUAAAAAUGACUAUUUGAGAGAAUAGUCCUAAUAAUUUUCUUUUUAAUAAAUCACUCAUAUUGUUGAAAACUAUUUAUGAAUUAAGUUAUAUAUAGUAACAAAUUAAAAUAAUUUAGCGACAAAAAAAAUCUAUUUGUAUUUUUGUAGAUCAAAAUUUAGAACAAAUGUUUAACUAAUCGUUUGAAAACAAUUAAUAUGAAUAUAAAUAAUUUGAACUAUAAAAUUUUUAAAUCAAUCAUAGUAAUCGAUAGGCUGGGCAAAAACACGAAUCCGAAGAACUAAACCGAAUAUGUUCCAAAAAGUAGAAUCAAAUCUAAAUAAAAAUUGGUUAAAUAUCCGAACGGAUUCAAGAAAAUUGUAUUUAGAGAACCCGAUCCCGAUCCGAACCGAAGUAUUUCGGAUACCCAAAUGUAUUCGAAAUAUAUNNNNNNNNNNNNNNNNNNNNNNNNNNNNNNNNNNNNNNNNNNNNNNNNNNNNNNNNNNNNNNNNNNNNNNNNNNNNNNNNNNNNNNNNNNNNNNNNNNNNNNNNNNNNNNNUUAAAGUGUAUAAAUUAUUAAUUUUUUAAAAAUAGUUUAAAUGGAUUACCUGAACCUGAACCGAAAUUUAUAAAUAUCAAAAUAGAGAUAAAAUCUUUAAACUUGAAUAGAGCUGAACCGAACCCGAAUGGAAUAUCUGAACGCCUACCCUUAAGUAAUUGAUGAUACAAAAACAAUAGCUAUUGAAAAAUGAUGGUACUGCCCAUGAUCGAACUUGAGACCUUUAGCGUGUAAGGCAAACGUGAUAAUGACUACACCGCAGCACCUAAUAUUUGCUUUGCCUCAUUAAGGUUAUAAAACAUAUUACACAUCUCUCGUAAGCAUUAUAUGGUUUGAGACGCAAUUUUAUAGGAGUAUAACCGAAGGCGUUGAAUACUUGUGUAGUAGCAGAGACUGGGGAUGAACAAUUGCUUAAGAAAGCUAGGACGAUGAAUAUUGAAUCCUCAGUGAAAGAGGCUUUGUCUACAUACAAUUAUUAUCUCAACAACAUCGUAAGUUUUGUUUCCUCUCUUCCCUAUAAAAAGCUCAUGCUUCAUAGGUUUAUGUUUAUUUGCUGUUGAAAAAGAUUAGACCAUGCAUCUUGGAAUGGAGUCAUAUAGAUACAGACUUAUGAGGUAGGCCUACUAAAGGAACGAGCUUUCUAAAGUUGAUUCAUUUUUAGUUGUGAAUUACAUAAAAGGUAACUCACCUAAAUGCUCCAGGUUUUGGACAUGAGCACAUUGGAAUUUGGAAUGAUGGUGGACAUGCAUAAAUUAUAUUGAACUACUAAAACACAAAAUAUAAAAAAAAUGUGAAAUUAUAAAGGGUAAUAAAAGGAAAACAAGACAAUAAAAAAGAGUGACAAAAUUGAGUGGUAAGCUUCUACGAACACACGGAACACAUGUUACAAUGGGAAUAGUUGUGAAGGAUACAAUAUCUAAUUUCCAGAUUUUUUGACACUAGAAUGAUGGAGGAUAUGCAUAAAGCAUAACGGAACUACUAAAAGCAUAGAAGAUUCUUUUUUAAAAAAUGUGAAGAUUAAAAAAGGAAAAACAAGACUAUCAAAUAAAAUUAAGGGGACAACAAAGAUUCGAAAUAAUAAACAGAAACAAUGGAAUAGGUAGGUUGGAAAAGUAAAUCAUAAGAGUUGGUACGGAGAUCAAGUGUGACGAUGGCAUCAGGAUAAUCACGACCUUGGAGUAGUAACUUGUGCUUGUCCAGAAUUGCAAUAGUAGGCACCCUGAACGUAUAAGCAGUUGAUGUUGUUGAUUCAAACACAAAGCUUCGAUCCUCUUCUCUCUUGCUGAGACGACCAUCAUCAUCAUAACAGUUAAGGGACACGAAAAGGACAUGUGGACCGCUUCGAGACAUCUGGAUCAAUUAUUAUCUUUCCUGGAAACGUCAGGAAUCGAUUGCAGAUUUCAGCUUCUUGGACACGGUCCUGAAUCUCAGCAGAGAUUUCACCGGAAGCUUCUCGAGUAUCAGCUCUACAACAUCGUCUGGGAGGAGCAAUUCUUUGCGUUGCCUUUUCAAUGUUCUUCUUGUUUUGAACGGAAUCAUCCUCUCGUGAUACUUUGACUCCUUUACUAGCAGAUGAGAUUUGAUAAGACUACUGGAAUAGAAACUAGUUGGUUCUUCUUUUAAAUUCUUUUGCUAAGAAUCUGCUUAAUUAACUUCUUUUUUUUUCUAUUUAAUGAGCCUUUUUUUUCUUUAGGAUAGUGUUGUGAAUUGUGAUAUUGUCAUGAUGGACCAAACUGGUCUGACCUGUUUUUAGU